RNAcentral lists this ribosomal RNA (449 nucleotides) under uncultured bacterium. Its description in RNAcentral is "partial 16S ribosomal RNA". It matches the Rfam family "Bacterial small subunit ribosomal RNA", at positions 29 to 523 of the family's 1533-position model. The record is from RNAcentral.
AACGAACGCUGGCGGCAGGCCUAACACAUGCAAGUCGAACGCUCUAGCAAUAGAGAGUGGCAGACGGGUGAGUAACGCGUGGGAAACUUCCUAGGGGUACGGAAUAGCUCAGGGAAACUUGGGGUAAUACCGUAUGAUGCCGUAAGGCCAAAGAUUUAUCGCCCUUAGAUGUGCCCGCGUCGGAUUAGCUAGUUGGUGAGGUAAUGGCUCACCAAGGCGACGAUCCGUAGCUGGUUUGAGAGAAUGACCAGCCACACUGGGACUGAGACACGGCCCAGACUCCUACGGGAGGCAGCAGUGGGGAAUCUUGGACAAUGGGCGCAAGCCUGAUCCAGCCAUGCCGCGUGAGUGACGAAGGCCUUAGGGUUGUAAAGCUCUUUUGCCGGGGACGAUAAUGACGGUACCCGGAGAAUAAGUCCCGGCUAACUUCGUGCCAGCCGCCGCCGUAA